UUUUCUAUCAGCAAUUUAGCAAGGAAAAAAAAAAUUAAUCGGCAAAUCUCAUCUCACUGACGAAAAUUCAGAGUGCAGAGGUACAUAAACGGCAAAGAAGUGAUAAACGUGGAAGAACACAAGUUACAAAUAGACAAAAACUUUUAAGACAACAUAACCACAACAUCAACCUCCAUUACCGGAGCUUCCAAUGCUAAGACCAACCACAUAAAUACCCUCCAAGACCAAGAAUUUCUCUUGCAAAUAAAAAAAAAAAAUAGACCAAACUAGUUUUCUUACACAAUCACCAUGCUUUUGCACACACACUUCUUUCAGACUUUAAGAACUGCAAGAAGGGUUCUUGGAAAUGUAAUGAAAGAUUCUGUUCAAUUGAGCAGCAAGAAUUGUAUGCCAUUGAGAAGAGGCAAAAGGGUUGUUUCUUUUCAAGGCUCUGCUGUAAGAUUUGUACAAACAUCAUACCGUAUUUCACUGCCUGCUGGGAACGCAUUUGGAAACCAAGAAAAAGUCUCUUCAAAAAUUUUGAAAGACAAGAAGACAGUUCCUGAUUCAGAUCCUCCAAGUGAUAGAGAUGUUGAUCUUUUGUACCAGUUUUUUGAUCGAAGCACCAAAUUGGUGGUUUUGACUGGAGCUGGGAUUAGUACAGAAUGUGGAAUUCCUGAUUAUAGAAGUCCAAAUGGAGCCUACAGUUCUGGUUUCAGACCUAUUACCCAUCAGGAGUUUGUCCGUUCAAGUCGAACACGUAGGCGAUAUUGGGCUAGGAGCUAUGCUGGAUGGAGACGGUUUCAUGCUGCAGAACCUAGUGCAGCCCAUUUUGCUUUGGCAUCUUUAGAAAAAGCUGGGCGGAUUGAUUUUAUGAUUACACAAAAUGUUGAUAGACUGCACCAUCGUGCUGGGAGCAACCCACUUGAAAUACAUGGAACUGUAUACUCUGUGACUUGUCUAGAUUGCAACUUUUCCUUUCCGCGGAGUUCAUUUCAAGAUCAACUGAAGGCCCUCAAUCCAAAGUGGGCAGAAGCAAUUGAAAGUUUGGAUAAUGGAAGUCCUGGAUCGGAGAAGAGCUUUGGCAUGAAGCAAAGGCCUGAUGGUGAUAUUGAGAUUGAUGAGAAAUUCUGGGAGGCGGAUUACCACAUACCUGCAUGCCCAAAAUGCAAUGGAGUGCUCAAACCUGAUAUGUUGCAGAACCAUGUGGUCAUAAAAGACUGGUAUAGUGCCAUAAGUACAUGGAAUAUCAGGAUACAGGGAAAUUAUUUAAUACACCUGAGGUUGUACUCCCCUUUCUUAAUGAAGGUGGGGUCCGUGGAUAAUUUUCAUGGUGGGUCCCAUGUUUAUGUGUGUGAGAGAGAAGAGUACAACUCCAAGUGUGUUGAAAUUGUUGUUUUCCAUGACAGGAUUUCAUCAAGUGCUAUAAGAUGUUAAAAGGAAAUUUAAGUCCUGAAAAUAAGGUAGACAUGCAUUGAAAAUACUAAGAGUGGCAUUGUCUAAUGUUCAUAGAAAGUUGUCAUUGAAUGGCAUUGUCUAAUGUUCGUAGAAAGUCAUCAUUGAAUGGACGUGAUGGUCUGUAAACUUGGUAAGUUUUCUGAUAUCAGGUAGUACAUGCAUUAUGCUUGGUUUUAAGACGGGGCAUAUAUUUGUGACCAUGUCAUUGUUGCUUUGCUAUUUCACUGUUAACAGAUGGUAAUACAUGUGAAAGCAGAAUUCAUGUACAUGUAUCGAAUACAUAUCUUAUACACUGUGCACCCAAGGUUGUUUUCUUCGGCGAUAAUGUCCCCAAGGAUAGAGCAGACAAGGCAAUGGACGCUGCAAAAGGUUGUGAUGCUUUCCUUGUACUAGGAUCAUCUCUAAUGACCAUGUCUGCUUUUAGACUUGUCAG
RNA transcript from Populus trichocarpa (black cottonwood), 1870 nucleotides. It is a transcript of the gene named NAD-dependent protein deacylase SRT2, with no coding region annotated. The record is from RefSeq and is a predicted model, not a curated record. Lineage: Eukaryota; Viridiplantae; Streptophyta; Magnoliopsida; Malpighiales; Salicaceae. The transcript has 10 exons.